GACGAACGCUGGCGGCGUGCCUAAUACAUGCAAGUUGAGCGCUGAAGGUUGGUACUUGUACCAACUGGAUGAGCAGCGAACGGGUGAGUAACGCGUGGGGAAUCUGCCUUUGAGCGGGGGACAACAUUUGGAAACGAAUGCUAAUACCGCAUAAAAACUUUAAACACAAGUUUUAAGUUUGAAAGAUGCAAUUGCAUCACUCAAAGAUGAUCCCGCGUUGUAUUAGGUAGUUGGUGAGGUAAAGGCUCACCAAGGCGAUGAUACAUAGCCGACCUGAGAGGGUGGUCGGCCACAUUGGGACUGAGACACGGCCCAAACUCCUACGGGAGGCAGCAGUAGGGAAUCUUCGGCAAUGGACGAAAGUCUGACCGAGCAACGCCGCGGGAGUGAAGAAGGUUGUCGGAUCGUAAAACUCUGUUGGUAGAGAAGAACGUUGGUGAGAGUGGAAAGCUCAGCAAGUGACGGUAACUACACAGAAAGGGACGGCUAACUACGUG
RNAcentral lists this ribosomal RNA (497 nucleotides) under uncultured bacterium. Its description in RNAcentral is "partial 16S ribosomal RNA". It matches the Rfam family "Bacterial small subunit ribosomal RNA", at positions 28 to 507 of the family's 1533-position model. The record is from RNAcentral.